Molecule: long non-coding RNA, 459 nt
Filed under: Mytilus galloprovincialis (Mediterranean mussel)
Lineage: Eukaryota; Metazoa; Mollusca; Bivalvia; Mytilida; Mytilidae
Source: RNAcentral
AUUUCCGGAAACGUAACAUCGUGUCCACAGUGGUUUUUCUGUUUUCGUGUAAACUCCACAGCUUUUGACCCAAUUAAAAACCAAUAAUAUUGGCUAGGAGAAAAUAUCUUGUCCAAAUAUCCGGAUAAUAAUCUCGAGUAGGGAUCUCGAACGAAUAGAAAUUUAGAAUUUUCUUUUAAAAUAUAAUGACAAUUGUCCAGCUUCUGAGAUUGGAAAGAUUUGUAGUUUUGCAAACAAUCCCGAGGUUUAAUCGAGUACGGACUUCAUGUUUAUGGAGUAACUGAAUAAGACGUCGCCAAAAUGUUGAUCCUACUUUCUCAAUUCCUCAAUAUACCAUCUUCUCCUGCAUAUGUGCUUUGAAAUUGUCUUCAUCUGACCUUCCGACAUCAAUCCUGUUGUAGCACUGCUGGUCUAGGUUAUGUUUUCUACUCUUCAUGAUCCUACCUGAUGUAUGGUCCU